GCUAGGGUUCUCUCUCCCUGGCAGUUUCCACGGGGCAGCGAGGUGUCCCGCGACAAUGACUUACAAGGACACAGCCUUUGGUCAACAGCAUAUCACUCUCUACUGAAAGUAUGAGUCAUCUUGUCUGCACUAUAUGAAACUUGACAACAUUCCAGCAAUAAGACGAAACAGCUGGAGUGCUUCAAGUGUGGGAGAGUGCCGCCAUGAUUCCAAAGCUGAGCCGAGGACCAGACAAAGGGUGGGGGAGCUAAGGCAAGGCUCCCCCACCCCGCUGCCUACAAGGGGGUGGGGGAGCAGGGGCCAGCACUGCAGAACAGCAGCAGAACAGCGGCAGCGUGGGGCGUUAGGUGGUGGCACUGCAUCUCAGGCCCCUCCCCGCCUGUCAUUCUUGACGGGCAAUUGGCUAGUGUGUGUACACACACACACACACACAGAGUGCGUGUUGGAAUACAUUCAGGGAAGAAAAAGGAUGAGAUAAUACGAUGAGGCAGAUUAAAUACAGAGCCCCAUUCAGAGUUCUCGUGAGACUACGGUUAGGGGUGGAUCCGUCCUUUCCCAGGUUGGACAACACCUCUGUGCCUGUGCUGGGGAGAAGAGGAGCGAUCAACAGACACAGGCAAGGAAGACAACAGCGGGCGCAGAGUUUUGAGUCUCAGCAGAUGACUGAGACUGGCAACAGAAAAAGAAAAUGAAACUGAAAGUAGCAGGGCUGUGGAAAGAAGCCAGCUGCUGAAAACCCUGGAGCCUGGGAAGCUGAAACCUGCAGCCCAGGCAGUAAUCGAAACUCAUCAGUACAGCACCAGCAGCAGUAGAUUCCUCUGUCCCUUCCCUUCCUGGGCAGAUGCAAAAAGAGGGAGGAAACAAACCAAAACAGUGGGGAAAAAAACACAGAACAGAAAAAAAAAAUCUCAAACUGAGCCCUCCUCAUUUGCAGCUGCUGAAUGUGGGUCCGUAUGUCUGCUUUUAGUGACUGCCCCUGUGCUUUUUACAGAUCCCCAGAGUGGUGACACAUCCCCCCGCAAAUAAUAAAAUCAGUCUGAUAGCUGGCUGGUGGGUAAGCCUGGCGCUGAGCCCUAGCACAAAGGAGUUUUAUUUAAGAAAAAAAAAAAAAAGGGCCACCUGUGACCCCCCCCGGGCACUGGGUCUGGGAAAGCCUGUGCUGUUCUAUGUGCCUGGCACUUCCUUUGCCUGUACAGCUACGCGUGGAUACCCAGAGCCUGGCAAAACAAUCCCAGCUCUUCCCACCCUGGGCAGCGCCACCCCACUGGCACAUCAGCAGCACUAGU
Molecule: long non-coding RNA, 1286 nt
Organism: Alligator sinensis (Chinese alligator)
Lineage: Eukaryota; Metazoa; Chordata; Crocodylia; Alligatoridae
Exons: 3
Source: RefSeq, a predicted model, not a curated record